RNAcentral lists this ribosomal RNA (352 nucleotides) under uncultured bacterium. RNAcentral's name for it is "bacterial SSU rRNA". It matches the Rfam family "Bacterial small subunit ribosomal RNA", at positions 8 to 350 of the family's 1533-position model. The record is from RNAcentral.
AGAGUUUGAUCAUGGCUCAGGAUGAACGCUAGCUACAGGCUUAACACAUGCAAGUCGAGGGGAAACGACAUCGAAAGCUUGCUUUUGAUGGGCGUCGACCGGCGCACGGGUGAGUAACGCGUAUCCAACCUGCCCAUCACUUGGGGAUAACCUUGCGAAAGUAAGACUAAUACCCAAUGACGUCUCUAGAAGACAUCUGAAAGAGAUUAAAGAUUUAUCGGUGAUGGAUGGGGAUGCGUCUGAUUAGCUUGUUGGCGGGUAACGCCACCAAGGCGACGAUCAGUAGGGGUUCUGAGAGGAACGGUCCCCCANAUUGGAACUGAGACACGGUCCAAACUCCGUACGGGAGGCA